RNAcentral lists this ribosomal RNA (281 nucleotides) under uncultured bacterium. RNAcentral describes it as "partial 16S ribosomal RNA". It matches the Rfam family "Bacterial small subunit ribosomal RNA", at positions 123 to 406 of the family's 1533-position model. The record is from RNAcentral.
AACGUGCCUGGUAGUGGGGGAUAACUACUCGAAAGAGUGGCUAAUACCGCAUGAGAUCUCAGGAUGAAAGCAGGGGACCUUCGGGCCUUGCGCUAUCAGAGCGGCCGAUGGCAGAUUAGGUAGUUGGUGGGAUAAAAGCUUACCAAGCCGACGAUCUGUAGCUGGUCUGAGAGGACGAUCAGCCACACUGGGACUGAGACACGGCCCAGACUCCUACGGGAGGCAGCAGUGGGGAAUUUUGGACAAUGGGCGCAAGCCUGAUCCAGCAAUGCCGCGUGCAG